This 1181-nucleotide ribosomal RNA is filed under the name Bifidobacterium breve. RNAcentral's name for it is "bacterial SSU rRNA". It matches the Rfam family "Bacterial small subunit ribosomal RNA", at positions 296 to 1482 of the family's 1533-position model. The record is from RNAcentral. Lineage: Bacteria; Bacillati; Actinomycetota; Actinomycetes; Bifidobacteriales; Bifidobacteriaceae.
GAGGGCGACCGGCCACAUUGGGACUGAGAUACGGCCCAGACUCCUACGGGAGGCAGCAGUGGGGAAUAUUGCACAAUGGGCGCAAGCCUGAUGCAGCGACGCCGCGUGAGGGAUGGAGGCCUUCGGGUUGUAAACCUCUUUUAUCAGGGAGCAAGGCUUCGGUUGAGUGUACCUGUUGAAUAAGCACCGGCUAACUACGUGCCAGCAGCCGCGGUAAUACGUAGGGUGCAAGCGUUAUCCGGAAUUAUUGGGCGUAAAGGGCUCGUAGGCGGUUCGUCGCGUCCGGUGUGAAAGUCCAUCGCUUAACGGUGGAUCCGCGCCGGGUACGGGCGGGCUUGAGUGCGGUAGGGGAGACUGGAAUUCCCGGUGUAACGGUGGAAUGUGUAGAUAUCGGGAAGAACACCAAUGGCGAAGGCAGGUCUCUGGGCCGUUACUGACGCUGAGGAGCGAAAGCGUGGGGAGCGAACAGGAUUAGAUACCCUGGUAGUCCACGCCGUAAACGGUGGAUGCUGGAUGUGGGGCCCGUUCCACGGGUUCCGUGUCGGAGCUAACGCGUUAAGCAUCCCGCCUGGGGAGUACGGCCGCAAGGCUAAAACUCAAAGAAAUUGACGGGGGCCCGCACAAGCGGCGGAGCAUGCGGAUUAAUUCGAUGCAACGCGAAGAACCUUACCUGGGCUUGACAUGUUCCCGACGAUCCCAGAGAUGGGGUUUCCCUUCGGGGCGGGUUCACAGGUGGUGCAUGGUCGUCGUCAGCUCGUGUCGUGAGAUGUUGGGUUAAGUCCCGCAACGAGCGCAACCCUCGCCCCGUGUUGCCAGCGGAUUGUGCCGGGAACUCACGGGGGACCGCCGGGGUUAACUCGGAGGAAGGUGGGGAUGACGUCAGAUCAUCAUGCCCCUUACGUCCAGGGCUUCACGCAUGCUACAAUGGCCGGUACAACGGGAUGCGACAGCGCGAGCUGGAGCGGAUCCCUGAAAACCGGUCUCAGUUCGGAUCGCAGUCUGCGACUCGACUGCGUGAAGGCGGAGUCGCUAGUAAUCGCGAAUCAGCAACGUCGCGGUGAAUGCGUUCCCGGGCCUUGUACACACCGCCCGUCAAGUCAUGAAAGUGGGCAGCACCCGAAGCCGGUGGCCUAACCCCUUGCGGGAGGGAGCCGUCUAAGGUGAGGCUCGUGAUUGGGACU